CAGAAUCUCUCUAUAUCCCAUCAAUAGAGAACUAAAGUCAAAUAGGGUUUGCUUUGGAAGAUCCAUUCCCUAACUUUAGAUCCUAAAAGCAAUGGAUACAGAUACGCUUCCGCUUAAGUCUAUCCAAUCAGAGAAUCAUAUGGUUAAAUGAUUCAUUUUUAUGAAUCAUUGUUGAAUUUAAAUCAACAAUUGGUAUCAGAG
This 201-nucleotide long non-coding RNA is filed under the name Brassica rapa (field mustard). Its description in RNAcentral is "long non-coding RNA (BRAP_LNC003490)". Lineage: Eukaryota; Viridiplantae; Streptophyta; Magnoliopsida; Brassicales; Brassicaceae. The record is from RNAcentral.